Molecule: long non-coding RNA, 1109 nt
Filed under: Ficedula albicollis (Collared flycatcher)
Lineage: Eukaryota; Metazoa; Chordata; Aves; Passeriformes; Muscicapidae
Description: lncRNA (ENSFALG00000019560.2)
Source: RNAcentral
CUGGAGAUGGGGAGAAGGGCACGGAAAGUGCUGGGCUGUGCCUCUCCCACGGAGGGGCUCAUGGGGGAAAGUCGGGCACUUGGCAGCUCACCAAAGCCGCAGGGCUCUCAGUGAAUAGCUGCAGUCACCGCCGGAGCGGUGAGCCAUGCACAGCUCAUCCCCGCGGCGCGAUGUGAGCCGGGGGCACCGCGGGGAGGGGGCACAGAGCCCCCGGGACCGGCCUUUGUCCGGGAUGCCGGCGGCACUGACGGGAACGCGGCGGCGCUGGCUGCCCUUUGUGCACGGAACAAAGAACAGCCAGAGGCUUCCUUCGCUGUCACAAGCGGGAAGGAGCCAGAGAGGGAAGCGUCACUCGGCGGAGGUGGGCAGCGGGCCGGUGGUGCUCGGUCCGCUGCCACCGGGCCACAAACGGGCAGCACCAGCUAAUGGCACCUCCCCGGCCACCCUGCAGGUUGUAUUGCUUCAACUCCGGAAGUGUCUGGUCACCUUGAGGAGCUCUGCUCGGAGUCUGCCUUCCUCAGUGAGAGCGGGAGGAAAGCCGAGUAUCAGUGCACUUACUCACUUCCCAUCCUCUCUCCACCCAAACUCGUCUGCUCGAUGCCAGGACAAAGCCCUGCUCACCCAUUUUACUGCCGCCCCAGGGCUGCGGGUGGCCUCCAUCCCUGCACUGGAUUUGGGGCGAGAGGAAGGGCUUCUAGCGUGGUGCGGUCAUGGGCGAAAACCCAGGGUCGGGGUGGUUUUGGGAUGCCACAGCCUUACAGCCACCCUUAUCAGCCUGCAGCCGGGCUGGCACCAAAUGGAUUUGGGGGAUGUAGCCGGAGACCCCCCGCUUUUGACAGUGCCUUGUGAGAUGCGCAGUGGCAGCUCCUCAAGGGGGCUCAGAGUCCCCUCCCAUUUGUCGGGGGACACUUUGGCACCGCUCAGCGGCGCCGCCGCCGUCCCGCAUCGCCACCGGCCGUCCCUGCGCAUGGAUAUUCCCGGCCUGGGACCUUUCCUGCGAUCCUUGUGCCAUCUAGUGGGACCUGCACCAACCACACGGCGGGGUGUCCGCCCCCCCCCCCCCCCCCCCCCCCCCCCCCCCCCCCCCCCCCCCCCCCCCCCCCCCCCCC